RNAcentral lists this ribosomal RNA (385 nucleotides) under Rhodococcus sp. 1.15-VEs. RNAcentral's name for it is "bacterial SSU rRNA". It matches the Rfam family "Bacterial small subunit ribosomal RNA", at positions 384 to 781 of the family's 1533-position model. The record is from RNAcentral. Lineage: Bacteria; Bacillati; Actinomycetota; Actinomycetes; Mycobacteriales; Nocardiaceae.
UGAUGCAGCGACGCCGCGUGAGGGAUGAAGGCCUUCGGGUUGUAAACCUCUUUCAGCAGGGACGAAGCGUGAGUGACGGUACCUGCAGAAGAAGCACCGGCUAACUACGUGCCAGCAGCCGCGGUAAUACGUAGGGUGCGAGCGUUGUCCGGAAUUACUGGGCGUAAAGAGUUCGUAGGCGGUUUGUCGCGUCGUUUGUGAAAACCCGGGGCUCAACUUCGGGCUUGCAGGCGAUACGGGCAGACUUGAGUGUUUCAGGGGAGACUGGAAUUCCUGGUGUAGCGGUGAAAUGCGCAGAUAUCAGGAGGAACACCGGUGGCGAAGGCGGGUCUCUGGGAAACAACUGACGCUGAGGAACGAAAGCGUGGGUAGCAAACAGGAUUAG